UUUCCGUAGGUGAACCUGCGGAAGGAUCAUUAUGAAUGAAAAACGAAUAACUUCAGGGAAGAAGGGAACCUGCACGGUGACCUCCCCUGUCGGGCCACCCAAUACCUUCAAAAUGCCGCCGUCCUAGCGGUGGCAGACGAAAAAAAAACAAGAAAAACAAAAUAGAAACAGGCACGGUGGCCCGUUCACCUUCACACAACCCUCCGAGUACCGCUUCCAUGUUGCUUCCCCGCAAAUCCACCUCUUUGGUGAGCGCGGGGGAGGUCCGCAUCAAAUUCACCUGAAUGUCACAGCAGUCAGACAGCCAUUCAUGGAAACAAUAAAACUUUCAACAACGGAUCUCUUGGUUCCC
Molecule: unclassified non-coding RNA, 352 nt
Filed under: plant metagenome
Description: partial contains small subunit ribosomal RNA, internal transcribed spacer 1, and 5.8S ribosomal RNA
Source: RNAcentral